Molecule: transfer RNA, 85 nt
Filed under: Felis catus (domestic cat)
Lineage: Eukaryota; Metazoa; Chordata; Mammalia; Carnivora; Felidae
Also listed under: 4 other names
Rfam family: tRNA
About the family: Transfer RNA (tRNA) molecules are approximately 80 nucleotides in length. Their secondary structure includes four short double-helical elements and three loops (D, anti-codon, and T loops).
Source: Rfam by way of RNAcentral
GCCUGGGUGGCUCAGUCGGUUAAGCGUCUGACUUCAGCUCAGGUCACGAUCUCACGGUCCGUGAGUUCGAGCCCCGCAUCGGGCU